UUAAGCGACUAAGCGUACACGGUGGAUGCCCUGGCAGUCAGAGGCGAUGAAGGACGUGCUAAUCUGCGAAAAGCGUCGGUAAGGUGAUAUGAACCGUUAUAACCGGCGAUGUCCGAAUGGGGAAACCCAGUGUGUUUCGACACACUAUCAUUAACUGAAUCCAUAGGUUAAUGAGGCGAACCGGGGGAACUGAAACAUCUAAGUACCCCGAGGAAAAGAAAUCAACCGAGAUUCCCCCAGUAGCGGCGAGCGAACGGGGAGGAGCCCAGAGCCUGAAUCAGUGUGUGUGUUAGUGGAAGCGUCUGGAAAGGCGCGCGAUACAGGGUGACAGCCCCGUACACAAAAAUGCACAUGCUGUGAGCUCGAUGAGUAGGGCGGGACACGUGGUAUCCUGUCUGAAUAUGGGGGGACCAUCCUCCAAGGCUAAAUACUCCUGACUGACCGAUAGUGAACCAGUACCGUGAGGGAAAGGCGAAAAGAACCCCGGCGAGGGGAGUGAAAAAGAACCUGAAACCGUGUACGUACAAGCAGUGGGAGCCCUGAUUUAUCAGGGUGACUGCGUACCUUUUGUAUAAUGGGUCAGCGACUUAUAUUCUGUAGCAAGGUUAACCGAAUAGGGGAGCCGGAGGGAAACCGAGUCUUAACUGGGCGUUAAGUUGCAGGGUAUAGACCCGAAACCCGGUGAUCUAGCCAUGGGCAGGUUGAAGGUUGGGUAACACUAACUGGAGGACCGAACCGACUAAUGUUGAAAAAUUAGCGGAUGACUUGUGGCUGGGGGUGAAAGGCCAAUCAAACCGGGAGAUAGCUGGUUCUCCCCGAAAGCUAUUUAGGUAGCGCCUCGUGAAUUCAUCUCCGGGGGUAGAGCACUGUUUCGGCAAGGGGGUCAUCCCGACUUACCAACCCGAUGCAAACUGCGAAUACCGGAGAAUGUUAUCACGGGAGACACACGGCGGGUGCUAACGUCCGUCGUGAAGAGGGAAACAACCCAGACCGCCAGCUAAGGUCCCAAAGUCAUGGUUAAGUGGGAAACGAUGUGGGAAGGCCCAGACAGCCAGGAUGUUGGCUUAGAAGCAGCCAUCAUUUAAAGAAAGCGUAAUAGCUCACUGGUCGAGUCGGCCUGCGCGGAAGAUGUAACGGGGCUAAACCAUGCACCGAAGCUGCGGCAGCGACACUGUGUGUUGUUGGGUAGGGGAGCGUUCUGUAAGCCUGUGAAGGUGUGCUGUGAGGCAUGCUGGAGGUAUCAGAAGUGCGAAUGCUGACAUAAGUAACGAUAAAGCGGGUGAAAAGCCCGCUCGCCGGAAGACCAAGGGUUCCUGUCCAACGUUAAUCGGGGCAGGGUGAGUCGACCCCUAAGGCGAGGCCGAAAGGCGUAGUCGAUGGGAAACAGGUUAAUAUUCCUGUACUUGGUGUUACUGCGAAGGGGGGACGGAGAAGGCUAUGUUGGCCGGGCGACGGUUGUCCCGGUUUAAGCGUGUAGGCUGGUUUUCCAGGCAAAUCCGGAGAAUCAAGGCUGAGGCGUGAUGACGAGGCACUACGGUGCUGAAGCAACAAAUGCCCUGCUUCCAGGAAAAGCCUCUAAGCAUCAGGUAACAUCAAAUCGUACCCCAAACCGACACAGGUGGUCAGGUAGAGAAUACCAAGGCGCUUGAGAGAACUCGGGUGAAGGAACUAGGCAAAAUGGUGCCGUAACUUCGGGAGAAGGCACGCUGAUAUGUAGGUGAAGCGAGUUGCUCGUGGAGCUGAAAUCAGUCGAAGAUACCAGCUGGCUGCAACUGUUUAUUAAAAACACAGCACUGUGCAAACACGAAAGUGGACGUAUACGGUGUGACGCCUGCCCGGUGCCGGAAGGUUAAUUGAUGGGGUCAGCGCAAGCGAAGCUCUUGAUCGAAGCCCCGGUAAACGGCGGCCGUAACUAUAACGGUCCUAAGGUAGCGAAAUUCCUUGUCGGGUAAGUUCCGACCUGCACGAAUGGCGUAAUGAUGGCCAGGCUGUCUCCACCCGAGACUCAGUGAAAUUGAACUCGCUGUGAAGAUGCAGUGUACCCGCGGCAAGACGGAAAGACCCCGUGAACCUUUACUAUAGCUUGACACUGAACACUGGUCCUUGAUGUGUAGGAUAGGUGGGAGGCUUUGAAGUGUGGACGCCAGUCUGCAUGGAGCCGUCCUUGAAAUACCACCCUUUAAUGGCUGGUGUUCUAACGUGGGCCCGUAAUCCGGGUUGCGGACAGUGUCUGGUGGGUAGUUUGACUGGGGCGGUCUCCUCCUAAAGAGUAACGGAGGAGCACGAAGGUUGGCUAAUCCUGGUCGGACAUCAGGAGGUUAGUGCAAUGGCAUAAGCCAGCUUGACUGCGAGCGUGACGGCGCGAGCAGGUGCGAAAGCAGGUCAUAGUGAUCCGGUGGUUCUGAAUGGAAGGGCCAUCGCUCAACGGAUAAAAGGUACUCCGGGGAUAACAGGCUGAUACCGCCCAAGAGUUCAUAUCGACGGCGGUGUUUGGCACCUCGAUGUCGGCUCAUCACAUCCUGGGGCUGAAGUAGGUCCCAAGGGUAUGGCUGUUCGCCAUUUAAAGUGGUACGCGAGCUGGGUUUAGAACGUCGUGAGACAGUUCGGUCCCUAUCUGCCGUGGGCGCUGGAGAACUGAGGGGGGCUGCUCCUAGUACGAGAGGACCGGAGUGGACGCAUCACUGGUGUUCGGGUUGUCAUGCCAAUGGCACUGCCCGGUAGCUAAAUGCGGAAGAGAUAAGUGCUGAAAGCAUCUAAGCACGAAACUUGCCCCGAGAUGAGUUCUCCCUGAGACUUAGAGUCUCCUGAAGGAACGUUGAAGACGACGACGUUGAUAGGCCGGGUGUGUAAGCGCAGCGAUGCGUUGAGCUAACCGGUACUAAUGAACCGUGAGGCUUAACCUU
This 2903-nucleotide ribosomal RNA is filed under the name Escherichia albertii. Its description in RNAcentral is "bacterial LSU rRNA". It matches the Rfam family "Bacterial large subunit ribosomal RNA". The record is from RNAcentral. Lineage: Bacteria; Pseudomonadati; Pseudomonadota; Gammaproteobacteria; Enterobacterales; Enterobacteriaceae.